GAACAAGCGAAAGAAAUUGCUUAACUGUUUUAUACAAAAAGAACUUAAUAGGAACUUGAUUUGAACGUCUCAUAUCACAGUGCUUUGCUCGUAUAGACAUGUUUCGGCUAUAUGGGUUUAUUGUUGACAAAAUUCAAGGGAUGAUGAUUCUGAAAUAAAAGAAAAAGGAGUGUUUUUAAUAUAUGAUUGAAUUUCGAAACUUCUCCUCAAAAAUAAAAUAGAAAUUACGUUAGUUCAAUCUGUAAAAUAUCUGCCUUGGUUUAGGAUCGUUGUAGAUGACAUUAGAUUCUAUAUAUAAAAAUAACUAAUUUGUAUGAUCUUUUGGCAACAGAUCUUCCAAUUGCGAGAAAGGCAUCACUCCAUCGGUUCUUCGAGAAGAGGAAGGAUCGGAUCAAUGCCAAGGCUCCAUAUCAAGUGAAUAAAGUGAAAGACUCUUCUGCGACUCCGUUUACCACACCAAAGGAGGAGGAGAACCAGCCAUGGCUUGGACUCAAGCCCAGCCUGAGUUCAGAAAGUGGUAGAUGAAGCUUUUGUAGGCAUGCCUUAAAGCUCACAUAGCUCUGUGAUUCAUUCUUAUUUCAGAUGCUGACUCUAGUUUGGCUUUCAUUUUUGUGCCCCUGAGAGCUUGAGGCCAUGGAUAUAUAUGUAAUUUCCUUCCUAUUGGAAACAAUAUAAAUUGCAACCAUUUAUGGGUAGAUAUUUUGUGGGUCUUGUUGCUAACGUAUGGUAGCUCUUCAUGGCUACCAUGUAGAGAUAAAUAGGUGAUAUAUUAUGUGUAUCUGUUUAUCGUUAGAAUCAUAUAUUUCUAUGUUUAUACACUGUACCUUUGUAUUUGGCAUUUA
This is a long non-coding RNA of Asparagus officinalis (garden asparagus), 842 nucleotides long. RefSeq lists it as uncharacterized. NCBI's taxonomy places the organism in Eukaryota, Viridiplantae, Streptophyta, Magnoliopsida, Asparagales, Asparagaceae. The transcript has 2 exons. The record is from RefSeq and is a predicted model, not a curated record.